GACGAACGCUGGCGGCGUGCUUAACACAUGCAAGUCGAACGGAAAGGCCCUGCUUUUGUGGGGUGCUCGAGUGGCGAACGGGUGAGUAACACGUGAGUAACCUGCCCUUGACUUUGGGAUAACUUCAGGAAACUGGGGCUAAUACAGGAUAGGAGCUCCUGCUGCAUGGUGGGGGUUGGAAAGUUUCGGCGGUUGGGGAUGGACUCGCGGCUUAUCAGCUUGGUGGUGGGGUAGUGGCUUACCAAGGCUUUGACGGGUAGCCGGCCUGAGAGGGUGACCGGCCACAUUGGGACUGAGAUACGGCCCAGACUCCUACGGGAGGCAGCAGUGGGGAAUAUUGCACAAUGGGCGGAAGCCUGAUGCAGCAACGCCGCGUGCGGGAUGACGGCCUUCGGGUUGUAAACCGCUUUCGCCUGUGACGAAGCGUGAGUGACGGUAAUGUGUAAAGAAGCACCGGCUAACUACGUG
This 468-nucleotide ribosomal RNA is filed under the name uncultured bacterium. RNAcentral's name for it is "partial 16S ribosomal RNA". It matches the Rfam family "Bacterial small subunit ribosomal RNA", at positions 28 to 507 of the family's 1533-position model. The record is from RNAcentral.